UUUUUUUUUUUUUGUGUGUGGCUGUACGCAUGGGCCAGGGAUCAAACCUAAGCCAUGACACCUACCUGAGCCACUGCAGUGAUGCCAGAUCCUUAACUCGCUGAGCUACAAGAGAACUCCCUAACACUAACAUUUUAAACUCCACUCAAUACCAUAGAAAUUAUUAAAAUGAGAUAAUAUAUGUGAGCGUGCUUGCUAAGUAAGCUUUCAAGAACUGUAUGAACAAUACCCCAGUACAAUGACCAUGAACCCAUAUUGUCUCAGACUAUAUAAUGUCACGUAAAUAUACCAUUCUCUGUUGACAACCCUUCCUAUGCUAGAAGGCCAUCAUCAAAUCCUCAUUCUAAUUUUUAGGCUGAAUAGCCAACUUGGUUGAAAAUUUCCUCCCACAAGUUCUUUCUCAAACUUUCAGUGAUUUUUGAAUUUUGUAACUGUUCUGUGCUCUCUCUCAGCUGUCCUAUUUUUGUUACCCUGAUGGUCAUACAAUUGAACCUCACUUUAUGAAAUGCAGCCAAGUGAAAAUAAUUUCUUAUGAGUCGUGUCAUUUUACAAAUGCACUGAGAUGCUAAGAGUUACUUAAAGACCCUCAGUAGAGGGAAAGGGGGAGUUGGGAAAGGGGGAGUUAGAUAAAGGCUGGUGUUUACUGAGCACCAGCUCUACUGCUUUUCUGUAACAUGACCUUGUCACUUAGCUUCUCCAAUCCCUGGUUUCCUCAUCUAUCAAGUGGGGACUUCCCGUCAAGCCCCCUACAAUGGUUCUCAGUGGUUGGUGUGCUGCGGCACAUUUCCAAGUGUGUGGGAGCACUUUCAGUGCUCACAAUAACUGGGGGUGGUUACUGCUAUUUAGGGAGGGAGUAGGGUUGGGGCGGGGACACAAAUAUUCCCAAAUGCCUGGUGCGUUGCCUUAUAACUAGAAAUUGUCCUGCCACAACAUGCUGGUGGUGCUGUCAUUGAGAUACUGAUGAAGCAACGCAUUACAAAUUUCCCUCGGAUAAAUUAGUGAACACUAGAUGGCAUGACAGGGUGCUUUAUGAUUAAGGGGGGAAAAAAAUCAGCCUUCAGAAUCUCUAAAACACUUCUGCUCUGUUAAAAUAAUCCUUUUAAAGUCUUUCCCACAUAAGUCCACCCAGAGCAAAUCUGAAAUCUUCCUGCUAUGUAGAAAGCAUCUUAAAAAUCUCUAAUCAGCUUACCAUGCGGAUUAGAGGACUUAGCUAUGACUUUAGAAACAGACUAGUUGAUUUGCAUUUUUGUCUGUGUUUCCAAAGUAUUACAUGACUUUAGUCAAAUCAAGAAAACCAUAUUCCCAGAGUUCCCGUUGUGGCUCAGUGAUUAAUGAACCUGACUAGUAUCCAAGAAGACAGAGGACAUGGGUUCAAUCCCUGGCCUUACUCAGUGGGUUAAGGACCUGGUGUUGCCCUGAGUUGUGGUGUAGCUCACAGACAAGGCUUGGAUCCCACGUUGCUGUGGCUGUGACUCCGAUUAGACCCCUAGCCUGGGAACCUCCAUAUGCCUCAGGUGCAGCCCUAAAAAGACAAAGAAAAAAAAAAAAGCCAUAUUCCAGAGUUCCCACUGUACCACAGUGGUUAACGAACCUCAGAGACAUCUGAGGUUGUAUGGAUUCAACCACCUGCCUGGUACAGUGGGUUAAAUUAUCUGGCAUUGCCACAGCUGUGGCAUAGGUUGCAUCUGUGGCUUGGAUUUGAUCCCUAGCCUGAGAACUUCCAUAUGCUGCAGGUGCAAUCAUUAAAAAAGAAAGAAAGCCACAUUCCCAAUUGUAAGUUGUAUCGGAUACUUCUUUGGACAUAUUUGUCUCUUAUUCUAGUUGCUAUAAGGCCAGCCAAUUCUGCAUGGGCUCUGACAAAGUUCAAGUUUCAACAGGCCCCAUUUGAAAGUAUUUCACCUUCUGGCCCCCCUUGCAUCUCUCUCCUCCCAUCUCAAGGUUUCCUUUGUGUUAUAACCCCUUAUGGACCCUACUAGGGGCCGACACCCAGACAUAUGCAACCUGGAAGCACCGUGGGUGACCCAAGGAUUUCAGGGAUCAGAAUUCCCAUUGUGGCGCAGCAGAAAUGAAUCCGACUAGCAUUCAUGAGGACGUGAGUUCGACCCCUGGCCUCACUAAGUGGGUUAAAGGAUCUGACAUGGCCAUGAACUGUGGUGUAGGUCAUAGACACAGCUUGGAUCCCGAGUUGCUGUGGUUGUGGUAUAGGCUGGCAGCCAUAGCUCCUAUUCGAUCCCUAGCCUGGGAACUUCCAUAUGCCUCAGGUGCAGCCCUCAAAAAAAAAAGGCAAAAAAAGAGGACCCCAGAGAUUCUAGCCAGUUGGUAAAAACUUCCUCUCUUCUACCC
RNAcentral lists this long non-coding RNA (2343 nucleotides) under Sus scrofa (pig). RNAcentral describes it as "lncRNA (ENSSSCG00050066438.1)". The record is from RNAcentral. Lineage: Eukaryota; Metazoa; Chordata; Mammalia; Artiodactyla; Suidae.